UAUCAAUAAGCGGAGGAAAAGAAACUAACAAGGAUUCCCCUAGUAACUGCGAGUGAAGCGGGAAAAGCUCAAAUUUAAAAUCUGGUGGCCUCUGGUCAUCCGAGUUGUAAUUUAGAGAAGCGUCUUCCGCGCUGGACCAUGCACAAGUCUCCUGGAAUGGAGCGUCAUAGAGGGUGAGAAUCCCGUCUUUGGCAUGGAUGCACCAGGGCUUCUGUGAUGCGCUCUCAAAGAGUCGAGUUGUUUGGGAAUGCAGCUCAAAAUGGGUGGUGAACUCCAUCUAAAGCUAAAUAUUGGCGAGAGACCGAUAGCGAACAAGUACCGUGAGGGAAAGAUGAAAAGCACUUUGGAAAGAGAGUGAAACAGUACGUGAAAUUGUUGAAAGGGAAACGCUUGAAGUCAGUCGCGUCGACCGAGACUCAGCCUCGCCUUGGCUUGGUGUACUUCUCGGCUGACGGGUCAGUGUCAAUUUUGGGCCUCGGAUAAUGACAAGGGAAAGGUGGCACCUUUAUAGGUGUGUUAUAGUCUCCUGUCGGAUGCGAGGGUCGGGAUUGAGGAACUCAGCACGCGCCUUUUGGUGUCGGGGCUUCGGCCUACGCUACGUGCUUAGGAUGCUGGCAUAAUGGCUUUAAACGACC
RNAcentral lists this ribosomal RNA (635 nucleotides) under Russula acrifolia. RNAcentral's name for it is "LSU rRNA". It matches the Rfam family "Eukaryotic large subunit ribosomal RNA", at positions 41 to 649 of the family's 3401-position model. Lineage: Eukaryota; Fungi; Basidiomycota; Agaricomycetes; Russulales; Russulaceae. The record is from RNAcentral.